RNAcentral lists this ribosomal RNA (288 nucleotides) under uncultured bacterium. RNAcentral describes it as "partial 16S ribosomal RNA". It matches the Rfam family "Bacterial small subunit ribosomal RNA", at positions 775 to 1067 of the family's 1533-position model. The record is from RNAcentral.
GGAUUAGAUACCCUGGUAGUCCACGCCCUAAACGAUGAUGACUCGAUGUUUGCGAUAUACCGUAAGCGUCCAAGCGAAAGCGUUAAGUCAUCCACCUGGGGAGUACGCCCGCAAGGGUGAAACUCAAAGGAAUUGACGGGGGCCCGCACAAGCGGAGGAGCAUGUGGUUUAAUUCGAUGAUACGCGAGGAACCUUACCCGGGCUUGAAAGUUACUGAAGGGCGCAGAGACGCGCCCGUCCUUCGGGACAGGAAACUAGGUGCUGCAUGGCUGUCGUCAGCUCGUGCCG